GGCAGCUCGGCGCGAAGUGGUCGCGCAGACUGUAAAUCUGCCGGCUCAGCCUUCCCAGGUUCGAAUCCUGGCGCCGCCA
This 79-nucleotide transfer RNA is filed under the name Streptomyces sp. McG7. RNAcentral describes it as "tRNA-Tyr". The record is from RNAcentral. Lineage: Bacteria; Bacillati; Actinomycetota; Actinomycetes; Kitasatosporales; Streptomycetaceae.